RNAcentral lists this ribosomal RNA (400 nucleotides) under uncultured bacterium. RNAcentral describes it as "bacterial SSU rRNA". It matches the Rfam family "Bacterial small subunit ribosomal RNA", at positions 355 to 772 of the family's 1533-position model. The record is from RNAcentral.
UGGGGAAUAUUGGACAAUGGGGGAAACCCUGAUCCAGCCAUGCCGCGUGAAUGAUGAAGGCCUUCGGGUUGUAAAGUUCUUUUGGCGGGGACGAUAAUGACGGUACCCGCAGAAUAAGCUCCGGCUAACUUCGUGCCAGCAGCCGCGGUAAUACGAAGGGAGCUAGCGUUGUUCGGAAUUACUGGGCGUAAAGGGUGCGUAGGCGGUUAGACAAGUUGGAUGUGAAAGCCCAGGGCUCAACCCUGGAACUGCAUUCAAGACUGUCUGACUUGAAUUCGGUAGAGGUGAGUGGAAUUCCCAGUGUAGAGGUGAAAUUCGUAGAUAUUGGGAGGAACACCGGUAGCGAAGGCGGCUCACUGGACCGACAUUGACGCUGAGGCACGAAAGCGUGGGUAGCAAA